Long non-coding RNA from Mus pahari (shrew mouse), 826 nucleotides. RefSeq lists it as uncharacterized. The record is from RefSeq and is a predicted model, not a curated record. The transcript is spliced from 2 exons. NCBI's taxonomy places the organism in Eukaryota, Metazoa, Chordata, Mammalia, Rodentia, Muridae.
CAAUGCCCCUGCCCAGCCUCUGGGACAGGGAUUCCCUCUCCCCUUGUACAUACUCACACACAGGUUCCCCGUGUACAUACAUGCACAUACACACCCAAACACACAUAGAGGACUCUGGAGCCACAGUGGGACAGCCCUGCCUGCUUGUCCUUCUGAGCUUGGGGACCAUGCCUCUUUGGACUCUGCUUCCAGGAUGGUUUGGGAAGCACAGCAGGGCACGGCUCCUGAGAUCCAUCCCCUAGACUGACUGACCGACAGACACACAAACACCAGACUGAAGCACAUGUAAUAUAGACUAUGUAUGUUUACAAUGUUGUGUAUAAAUGGGACACUUUGCCCUCUACCACCUCCCCUUUGGUUGUAUGAUUUUCUUCUUUUUUUAAUGACUCCUGGAAGCAGUGCCGCUUCAGAGCUGGCUGGGAGCUUGGCUUAGCCACCUCUUAGAGUGCCUGCUUCUGCCUCUCCCAUGGCAUCCCGUCCCUUUCCCAUGUGCUCGGUGUUCAGUGGUGUAUAUUUCUUCUCCCAGACAUGGGGCGUGUGCCCCAAGGGAUCUGAUCCCCUCCUUAGUCUUAGCUCAUGGGCGGCUCUUGAGGAGCUGGGGGCAGGGUAGAAUGGGACAGAGCAGGUACAGAGGCUGCAGUUGGGCUGGCCUACUGAGGGUGCCUGGCUGCCCAGCCUGCUGUAGACGUGCUCCCUGCCCUCCUGUGGGCCCUGUGAUGUGAUGCUGUGUCUGUAUAUUCUAUACAAAGGUACUUGUNCCUUCCCUUUGUAAACUACGUUUGACAUGAAUUAAAACAAUAUAAACCAAAAAAAAAAAAAAAAAAAA